This 536-nucleotide ribosomal RNA is filed under the name uncultured bacterium. RNAcentral's name for it is "bacterial SSU rRNA". It matches the Rfam family "Bacterial small subunit ribosomal RNA", at positions 777 to 1306 of the family's 1533-position model. The record is from RNAcentral.
AAUAGAUACCCCGGUAGUCCACGCCGUAAACGGUGGGCACUAGGUGUGGGCAGCAUUCCACGUUGUCCGUGCCGCAGCUAACGCAUUAAGUGCCCCGCCUGGGGAGUACGGCCGCAAGGCUAAAACUCAAAGGAAUUGACAGGGGCCCGCACAAGCGGCGGAGCAUGUGGCUUAAUUCGACGCAACGCGAAGAACCUUACCAAGGCUUGACAUACACCGGAAACAUCCAGAGAUGGGUGCCCCCUUGUGGUCGGUGUACAGGUGGUGCAUGGCUGUCGUCAGCUCGUGUCGUGAGAUGUUGGGUUAAGUCCCGCAACGAGCGCAACCCUUGUCCCGUGUUGCCAGCAGGCCCUUGUGGUGCUGGGGACUCACGGGAGACCGCCGGGGUCAACUCGGAGGAAGGUGGGGACGACGUCAAGUCAUCAUGCCCCUUAUGUCUUGGGCUGCACACGUGCUACAAUGGCCGGUACAAUGAGCUGCGAUACCGCGAGGUGGAGCGAAUCUCAAAAAGCCGGUCUCAGUUCGGAUUGGGGUCG